UUAAAUUGAAGAGUUUGAUCAUGGCUCAGAUUGAACGCUGGCGGCAGGCCUAACACAUGCAAGUCGAACGGUAACAGGAAGCAGCUUGCUGCUUUGCUGACGAGUGGCGGACGGGUGAGUAAUGUCUGGGAAACUGCCUGAUGGAGGGGGAUAACUACUGGAAACGGUGGCUAAUACCGCAUAACGUCGCAAGACCAAAGAGGGGGACCUUCGGGCCUCUUGCCAUCAGAUGUGCCCAGAUGGGAUUAGCUUGUUGGUGAGGUAACGGCUCACCAAGGCGACGAUCCCUAGCUGGUCUGAGAGGAUGACCAGCCACACUGGAACUGAGACACGGUCCAGACUCCUACGGGAGGCAGCAGUGGGGAAUAUUGCACAAUGGGCGCAAGCCUGAUGCAGCCAUGCCGCGUGUAUGAAGAAGGCCUUCGGGUUGUAAAGUACUUUCAGCGGGGAGGAAGGUGUUGUGGUUAAUAACCGCAGCAAUUGACGUUACCCGCAGAAGAAGCACCGGCUAACUCCGUGCCAGCAGCCGCGGUAAUACGGAGGGUGCAAGCGUUAAUCGGAAUUACUGGGCGUAAAGCGCACGCAGGCGGUCUGUCAAGUCGGAUGUGAAAUCCCCGGGCUCAACCUGGGAACUGCAUUCGAAACUGGCAGGCUUGAGUCUUGUAGAGGGGGUAGAAUUCCAGGUGUAGCGGUGAAAUGCGUAGAGAUCUGGAGGAAUACCGGUGGCGAAGGCGGCCCCCUGGACAAAGACUGACGCUCAGGUGCGAAAGCGUGGGGAGCAAACAGGAUUAGAUACCUUGGUAGUCCACGCCGUAAACGAUGUCUACUUGGAGGUUGUGCCCUUGAGGCGUGGCUUCCGGAGCUAACGCGUUAAGUAGACCGCCUGGGGAGUACGGCCGCAAGGUUAAAACUCAAAUGAAUUGACGGGGGCCCGCACAAGCGGUGGAGCAUGUGGUUUAAUUCGAUGCAACGCGAAGAACCUUACCUGGUCUUGACAUCCACGGAAGUUUUCAGAGAUGAGAAUGUGCCUUCGGGAACCGUGAGACAGGUGCUGCAUGGCUGUCGUCAGCUCGUGUUGUGAAAUGUUGGGUUAAGUCCCGCAACGAGCGCAACCCUUAUCCUUUGUUGCCAGCGAUUCGGUCGGGAACUCAAAGGAGACUGCCAGUGAUAAACUGGAGGAAGGUGGGGAUGACGUCAAGUCAUCAUGGCCCUUACGACCAGGGCUACACACGUGCUACAAUGGCGCAUACAAAGAGAAGCGACCUCGCGAGAGCAAGCGGACCUCAUAAAGUGCGUCGUAGUCCGGAUUGGAGUCUGCAACUCGACUCCAUGAAGUCGGAAUCGCUAGUAAUCGUGGAUCAGAAUGCCACGGUGAAUACGUUCCCGGGCCUUGUACACACCGCCCGUCACACCAUGGGAGUGGGUUGCAAAAGAAGUAGGUAGCUUAACCUUCGGGAGGGCGCUUACCACUUUGUGAUUCAUGACUGGGGUGAAGUCGUAACAAGGUAACCGUAGGGGAACCUGCGGUUGGAUCACCUCCUUACCUGAAAGAAGC
This 1555-nucleotide ribosomal RNA is filed under the name Salmonella enterica subsp. enterica serovar Montevideo str. CDC 2010K-0257. RNAcentral describes it as "bacterial SSU rRNA". It matches the Rfam family "Bacterial small subunit ribosomal RNA". The record is from RNAcentral. Lineage: Bacteria; Pseudomonadati; Pseudomonadota; Gammaproteobacteria; Enterobacterales; Enterobacteriaceae.